Molecule: ribosomal RNA, 464 nt
Filed under: Vreelandella stevensii
Lineage: Bacteria; Pseudomonadati; Pseudomonadota; Gammaproteobacteria; Oceanospirillales; Halomonadaceae
Description: partial 16S ribosomal RNA
Rfam family: Bacterial small subunit ribosomal RNA
Source: RNAcentral
CCUACGGGCGGCAGCAGUGGGGAAUAUUGGACAAUGGGCGAAAGCCUGAUCCAGCCAUGCCGCGUGUGUGAAGAAGGCCUUCGGGUUGUAAAGCACUUUCAGUGGGAAGAAAGCCUUGGGGCUAAUACCCUCGAGGAAGGACAUCACCCACAGAAGAAGCACCGGCUAACUCCGUGCCAGCAGCCGCGGUAAUACGGAGGGUGCGAGCGUUAAUCGGAAUUACUGGGCGUAAAGCGCGCGUAGGCGGUCUGAUAAGCCGGUUGUGAAAGCCCCGGGCUCAACCUGGGAACGGCAUCCGGAACUGUCAGGAUAGAGUGCAGGAGAGGAAGGUAGAAUUCCCGGUGUAGCGGUGAAAUGCGUAGAGAUCGGGAGGAAUACCAGUGGCGAAGGCGGCCUUCUGGACUGACACUGACGCUGAGGUGCGAAAGCGUGGGUAGCAAACAGGAUUAGAUACCCGGGUAGUC